This 578-nucleotide ribosomal RNA is filed under the name uncultured bacterium. RNAcentral's name for it is "bacterial SSU rRNA". It matches the Rfam family "Bacterial small subunit ribosomal RNA", at positions 338 to 916 of the family's 1533-position model. The record is from RNAcentral.
CCUACGGGAGGCAGCAGUAAGGAAUAUUGGUCAAUGGACGCAAGUCUGAACCAGCCAUGCCGCGUGAAGGAUUAAGGUCCUCUGGAUUGUAAACUUCUUUUAUCUGGGACGAAAAAAGGCGAUUCUUCGUCACUUGACGGUACCAGAUGAAUAAGCACCGGCUAACUCCGUGCCAGCAGCCGCGGUAAUACGGAGGGUGCAAGCGUUAUCCGGAUUCACUGGGUUUAAAGGGUGCGUAGGCGGGCAGGUAAGUCAGUGGUGAAAUCCUAGAGCUUAACUCUAGAACUGCCAUUGAUACUAUCUGUCUUGAAUAUUGUGGAGGUAAGCGGAAUAUGUCAUGUAGCGGUGAAAUGCUUAGAUAUGACAUAGAACACCUAUUGCGAAGGCAGCUUACUACGCAUAUAUUGACGCUGAGGCACGAAAGCGUGGGGAUCAAACAGGAUUAGAUACCCUGGUAGUCCACGCCCUAAACGAUGAUUACUCGACAUUUGUGAUACACUAUAAGUGUCUGAGCGAAAGCAUUAAGUAAUCCACCUGGGAAGUACGACCGCAAGGUUGAAACUUAAAUGAAUUGACGG